UAUGCUCUAUACAAUCCAUAACACGUAUGAUGACACUGAAAAUAAAGUCGUUGCAGAUCUAGGAUGUGGUUGUGGAGUACUUAGCAUUGGAACUGCAAUGUUAGGAGCAGGGUUGUGUGUUGGAUUUGACAUAGAUGAAGAUGCAUUGGAAAUAUUUAAUAGGAAUGUGGAAGAGUUUGAGUUAACAAAUAUUGACAUGGUUCAAUGUGAUGUGUGCGUAUUAUCUAACACAAUGUCCAAGUCAUUCGAUACAGUAAUUAUGAAUACUCCCUUUGGGACCAAAAAUAAUAAAGGGACAGAUAUGGCUUUUCUAAAGACUGCUUUGGAAAUGGCAAGAACAGCAGUAUAUUCCUUACACAAAUCCUCAACUAGAGAACAUGUUCAAAAGAAAGCUGCGGAAUGGAAAAUCAAGAUAGAUAUUAUAGCAGAGCUUCGAUAUGACCUGCCAGCAUCAUACAAGUUUCAUAAAAAGAAAUCAGUGGACAUUGAAGUGGACCUAAUUCGGUUUUCCUUUUAAAAGCCCCUACAAACAAAAGUAGUUUAAAACCUAUUUAAAAUGAAUAAAAAGUUGGUUUACUAAAAAAAA
RNA transcript from Piliocolobus tephrosceles (Ugandan red Colobus), 586 nucleotides. It is a transcript of the gene named methyltransferase-like protein 5 pseudogene, with no coding region annotated. NCBI's taxonomy places the organism in Eukaryota, Metazoa, Chordata, Mammalia, Primates, Cercopithecidae. The transcript has a single exon. The record is from RefSeq and is a predicted model, not a curated record.